RNAcentral lists this long non-coding RNA (255 nucleotides) under Mytilus galloprovincialis (Mediterranean mussel). The record is from RNAcentral. Lineage: Eukaryota; Metazoa; Mollusca; Bivalvia; Mytilida; Mytilidae.
UCCGUGUUAGUUGAAGUACAUGUAGAUAUGUUGGCAAACUACCCAAGGUUGGUAGAUUCUAUGAAAAUUGACCUGUGCUCUCUUAUACAAUGUCAAAAACUCCUUGAUGGUCUGUUCCAUAUUAUUUAUUUAUUUGCUUUAAAAUUCAUGCAUAUUAUAUUUAAAUGAAGUCAGAUACAUUCUACUAUUAAUUUUUGAAAAAAUUAAAAGCAAAAUUUUGAAUUCAUGUGUCCAUGAAAUUAAAAAAGACGAUGA